GACGAACGCUGGCGGCGUGCCUAAUACAUGCAAGUUAAGCGCUGAAGGUUGGUACUUGUACCAACUGGAUGAGCAGCGAACGGGUGAGUAACGCGUGGGGAAUCUGCCUUUGAGCGGGGGACAACAUUUGGAAACGAAUGCUAAUACCGCAUAAAAACUUUAAACACAAGUUUUAAGUUUGAAAGAUGCAAUUGCAUCACUCAAAGAUGAUCCCGCGUUGUAUUAGCUAGUUGGUGAGGUAAAGGCUCACCAAGGCGAUGAUACAUAGCCGACCUGAGAGGGUGAUCGGCCACAUUGGGACUGAGACACGGCCCAAACUCCUACGGGAGGCAGCAGUAGGGAAUCUUCGGCAAUAGACGAAAGUCUGACCGAGCAACGCCGCGUGAGUGAAGAAGGUUUUCGGAUCGUAAAACUCUGUUGGUAGAGAAGAACGUUGGUGAGAGUGGAAAGCUCAUCAAGUGACGGUAACUACCCAGAAAGGGACGGCUAACUACGUG
This 497-nucleotide ribosomal RNA is filed under the name uncultured bacterium. Its description in RNAcentral is "partial 16S ribosomal RNA". It matches the Rfam family "Bacterial small subunit ribosomal RNA", at positions 28 to 507 of the family's 1533-position model. The record is from RNAcentral.